GACGUGCCUUAGCAGCCGCGCAGCCUCGCUUUUUGGGGAGGGGCCGCCCUCCGUCGCCUUGGGCUUUCCCUGCCCUGAGGGGCCGGAAAAGAACUUCAGUUUUCUGUUGAUGUGGAGACAUAGGGUAUCUCCAACUUCCCAGUAUUUCAGAAGUGAGUUUUGUAUUGAAACUGGAAGACCAAAAUAAUUACAAGCAGUUGUGCUGGGGGAAAUGCAUCCUUUUGGACAACUAGGUUUGGGUGGAAUUGAUGAAGAAAUUGUAUUAGAGCCCAGGAAAAGUGACUUUUUUGUAAAUAAAAGGUCCGAGAUGUAGGAUGUGGACUCAGACAUACUGUAUUUGUUCUGGAUGAUGGAACUGUGUACACGUGUGGAUGUAAUGAUCUAGGACAGCUAGGUCAUGAAAAAUCCAGAAAGAAACCAGGACCCUACAUCUGAGGAAUUUCAAGAGCAUUACACAAUAAUUCAUGGUUCCUUUCAAAAUGCUUGUGACACAAUUUGCAAGAAUUAUCCUCAUCUUAGGGGAUAAAUUUACGGAGAAAUGGCAGCACAAGUUGGUAAGUAACUUGUCAAUAGCAGGUUGACUGGCGAACAGCUAUAAUGAGUCUGAAAGUUUAACCUACCAGUCUCCUACCUUAUUCACUAAAUUGUGCUUAUGUUUAGAAUUAUUUGCAGUAAUAUUUUCUGUUUGAGGCAGAUCAAAUAUUAAUGCACAGAUUGUUUCCUUG
RNAcentral lists this long non-coding RNA (725 nucleotides) under Sciurus vulgaris (Eurasian red squirrel). Its description in RNAcentral is "lncRNA (ENSSVLG00005005162.1)". Lineage: Eukaryota; Metazoa; Chordata; Mammalia; Rodentia; Sciuridae. The record is from RNAcentral.